Teleopsis dalmanni is the source of this 1850-nucleotide long non-coding RNA. RefSeq lists it as uncharacterized. NCBI's taxonomy places the organism in Eukaryota, Metazoa, Arthropoda, Insecta, Diptera, Diopsidae. The transcript is spliced from 8 exons. The record is from RefSeq and is a predicted model, not a curated record.
AAAAUAGUAAAAUCAAGAAAUCAAAAAAAGGGCUUAAAACCAAAACACAGGCUUACGGUUAUUUUGUUUACCAUAAGUAUAGUUGUAAUUACUAUAAAAUCAAUCCAAAAGCCAAUCGACACAUAAAACAAAUGAUACCACGAAGAAGGAUUUGAAUUGCGGAAAUUCAAUAGCUUGAACUCAAACACUAACGAACUCUGAAAAUUUAAAAAUUAAUAUUUAAAAAAUAUAUAACGCCACAAUUAAAAAAAACUUAGUAUGAGUAGGUUCCACAAAGAAACAAAAAAAUUAGAUGAGAUGAAAUUAGUUCCAAAAAUUCAAAAUUAUAACGUAUACACCAGAUUUAGCCAACUACUACAACUACAAACAUAGAACAAAAAAGAAGAUGAAAUAGGUUAUGAUAGUUAAAAAGAUGGAGAUUAUAAAGAAUUUGAAUAAUCGUAUAUAUAUGUGAGGAGUAGUAAAAUAACUAUGAUAUAUAAUAAAAAUUGAAAACUUAGAAGAUUAAGUCAGUUACGAAAGUUAAAAAUUUUAAAUGUUUAACAGAAAAAUUUGAUUUUAUAAAAAUUAACAUAAAAAAGGGAUGAAGAUUGUGUAAGUUAGGAAUUAGAAAAACUAAUAAGACGAUGGGUAUCGACAAUAAAUAAGAAAGUAAAAAAGAUUAAUUUAAACUCCACUUCAAUGCCUUGUAUGAUACUUAAGGACCUAUUAUACUCUAAAAAUGAUUCUUAGUUUCUUCUUAGUUGGUUCUUCUUAGUUUAUUGAAAAAGAAAGUUAUUAAAUAUAACAUUAAAAUAUGAUACUUAGCUAUGAUGCUUUAAAUAAAUUUGCCAAUAUGAAAAUAUAACUUUCGACUAAAUUGAAAGUCUCCGGAGUGAGGAAAAUAUAUUCGACAUACUGGGGCAUGACGAUCGGAACAGAUGUUUUCUCUCUGAUCUUUUCAUUUCAGGUCUUCUUUCUGUCAACUUUGACAGUUUUUAUGAUGUCGAAAGAUUAUAAAGUUCCACUGUAAAAUCUAUGAUUUGCCUAUAAACGUAUAUUACUAAGCGCUAGAAAAAAAUUACGUUUAAAAAAAUGUACUCCUUUUCAGAAUAUAUUUCCGUGAUGUUUUAUUAAAGAGGGAUUAAGACAAUUAUGCUAAAGUUUCAUAAUUACUGUCCGAUCAAAUUAAUGUCAGCCAAACCUGGAAAAACGAUGUUAUUGUAUGAACUUGCAUCUAACAACUUAUAUAUUUCCUACAUUAGAAAGGCAUAAACUGAGGUAGGAGUGUGUUGCAUUAAAUCCAUUAAGAGUCUUACUGUGAAUACUUCAGACAUUCCUGGGGUGAGUAACUUGCUGCAAUAGAACUGGAGCAUAAUUUCGGUGACUUUACACAUAAGAACUUUAUCAUCUCCUGCAAGGUGGAAAGUCAUAUUUGUCGAAUGAUGGCAGAGAUGUUCCAGAUUAUGAAAUUCGUGAUAGAUGAUGUUCUUACUAAGAAACCUUGUAUUCUUUACAAUCCAAACAGCAAAAUGUGCUCCAACUCACAGGAAAAACCCACCUUGUUGACAAUGGAUUUUGGAACCGGAUCUUCAAUGUCACUAUCUUCUCUACAUACUUUAGUACAAGAAGCAAGUGCUAGAAACGUGUUCAAUUCCUGAUAAUAAAAUUCCGGAAGAAAAUAUAAACCAAAAUUAACCCAAAAUUUUUUAAAUUUAAAAUGUUUAAAUUUAAGUAAAAAUCAAAAAAUCGUAAAAGACAUUAAAAAUUACAAAAGUGUGAGUUAUGAAUGCGAAUAAUAACAUUAAAUUGUUAUGUUUUGCAAUAAUCAGUUUUAAACUUAAAUAAAGGAAAGCAUUUCUCAUGCGAAA